RNAcentral lists this ribosomal RNA (472 nucleotides) under Brevibacillus laterosporus. RNAcentral describes it as "bacterial SSU rRNA". It matches the Rfam family "Bacterial small subunit ribosomal RNA", at positions 924 to 1405 of the family's 1533-position model. The record is from RNAcentral. Lineage: Bacteria; Bacillati; Bacillota; Bacilli; Caryophanales; Paenibacillaceae.
CGUUAACCGGAAAUGUGGUUUAUUCGAAGCACGCGAAGAACCUUACCAGGUCUUGACAUCCCACUGACCGCUCUAGAGAUAGAGCUUCCCUUCGGGGCAGUGGUGACAGGUGGUGCAUGGUUGUCGUCAGCUCGUGUCGUGAGAUGUUGGGUUAAGUCCCGCAACGAGCGCAACCCUUAUCUUUAGUUGCCAGCAUUCAGUUGGGCACUCUAGAGAGACUGCCGUCGACAAGACGGAGGAAGGCGGGGAUGACGUCAAAUCAUCAUGCCCCUUAUGACCUGGGCUACACACGUGCUACAAUGGUUGGUACAACGGGAUGCUACUUCGCGAGAAGAUGCUAAUCUCUUAAAACCAAUCUCAGUUCGGAUUGUAGGCUGCAACUCGCCUACAUGAAGUCGGAAUCGCUAGUAAUCGCGGAUCAGCAUGCCGCGGUGAAUACGUUCCCGGGCCUUGUACACACCCGCCCCAUGAA